Molecule: long non-coding RNA, 306 nt
Filed under: Homo sapiens (human)
Lineage: Eukaryota; Metazoa; Chordata; Mammalia; Primates; Hominidae
Description: non-protein coding GLIDR:18
Source: RNAcentral
AGUGCUUUUUUCCAGAUCUCGAUCCCAAACUCCCUCCUGCCAGAAUCUGGACCCGAAUCCACCCAUUGCCCGUUUUCCGCUGCCGCUGGAGAGAAUCUCUGAGGUCCCCAGGAGAGCCUGCCUGCACGGAAGAGACGCCUCCUCGAUUAAAUGCUGUUUUCCAUGACCGUCUCUGUUCUUCCCAUACGGGAAUGGCAGGCAUUCAGAUCUCCAAGAAUAGAGGAUUAGGAGAGACUCCACCACCUAUGUCCUCACAGUUAAUUAUCGAUUUGUGUCAGUUGCCCAUUUUCUCACUUCCUGUUUGUG